CAAGACAGAUUUAAAGUAGCUAAUGUUCAGUUUGAAAAAUAUUUUUUUAUGGAAAGUCAAGAUAGUUUUAAUAGGCAACACAUUGAAAUGAAAAGAGCAGGGGUCUGAAUUGGAUUAACUUGCUUUGGAAUUCCCAGAUCUUUAGCAAAGUUCGUGGAAGUUAUUUUAGCACUUAUUCAUUUCUGUUUCUGCAUUUGCAAAACAAUAAUUAGGAAAAAUACUAGGUUAAGGUAAAAACAAGUUAUAUGUGAAGAUGAAUGAAUUGUCUGAUGCACAGUGGGAACGUGCCGUGUUUAGCCCUGUACUUUGUAAACUUCAGAAUACUAAGAUGAAACGUCUAGGUCUGGCUCUGUGCUUGAGUGAAGCUUCUAUGGGAGUCCAUGGUUACCAGUGGUCACCUUCUCCACUGGCCGAGCUUCCCAUGAGCAGAGUUUUCUAAAUACUAGAAAAUGCUAGAACUAUGGGCAAGUGUGCUUAAUGACUAAUAACAUUUUCCUAACUAAAAUAGAGCUUAUCUGUUGUCUACGACAGAUGGAUGAUGGAUCCCUUUCAAGGUCUCCUCCCCAUUGUUGGGGU
This 576-nucleotide long non-coding RNA is filed under the name Bos taurus (domestic cattle). RNAcentral describes it as "long non-coding RNA NONBTAT022697". The record is from RNAcentral. Lineage: Eukaryota; Metazoa; Chordata; Mammalia; Artiodactyla; Bovidae.